AGAACGAACGCUGGCGGCAGGCCUCAAACAUGCAAGUCUAGGGGGCGUAGCAAUACGUCAGCGGCAGACGGGUGAGUAACGCGUGGGAACGUACCUUUUGGUUCGGAACAACACAGGGAAACUUGUGCUAAAUACCGGAUAAGCCCUUACGGGGAAAGAUUUAUCGCCGAAAGAUCGGCCCGCGUCUGAUUAGCUAGUUGGUGAGGUAACGGCUCACCAAGGCGACGAUCAGUAGCUGGUCUGAGAGGAUGAUCAGCCACAUUGGGACUGAGACACGGCCCAAACUCCUACGGGAGGCAGCAGUGGGGAAUAUUGGACAAUGGGCGCAAGCCUGAUCCAGCCAUGCCGCGUGAGUGAUGAAGGCCCUAGGGUUAUAAAGCUCUUUGUGCGGAAGAUAAUGACGGUACCGCAAGAAUAAGCCCGGCUAACUUCGUGCCAGCAGCCGC
RNAcentral lists this ribosomal RNA (446 nucleotides) under uncultured bacterium. Its description in RNAcentral is "SSU rRNA". It matches the Rfam family "Bacterial small subunit ribosomal RNA", at positions 26 to 518 of the family's 1533-position model. The record is from RNAcentral.